The sequence is a non-coding RNA, 945 nucleotides long. It matches the Rfam family "Bacterial small subunit ribosomal RNA".
UAAAAGCUUGGUCCUGACUUUAUUAUCAGCUGUUACUAAAUUUACACAUGCAAGCAUCUACCCCCCUGUGAGAAUGCCCUCGAUCCCCUAAUUGGAAACGAGGAGCGGGCAUCAGGCUCGCCACACGUCUGCCCAAAACGUCUUGCUCCGCCACACCCCCAAGGGAACUCAGCAGUGAUAAACAUUAAGCCAUGAGUGAAAACUCGACUUAGUGAAGGUAAUUAAGGGCCGGUAAAACUCGUGCCAGCCACCGCGGUUAUACGAGAGGCCCAAGUUGAUAAACACCGGCGUAAAGUGUGGUUAGGAUUUUCCCCACUAAAGUUAAACACUCCCAGAACUGUUAUACGCUCCCGGGAGCAGGAAACCCAGCAACGAAAGUGACUUUAAACCUCCGACCCCACGACAGCUAUGACACAAACUGGGAUUAGAUACCCCAUUAUGCCUAGCCAUAAACUUUGAUAGAAUCUUACAACCUCUAUCCGCCUGGGAACUACGAGCGCUAGCUUAAAACCCAAAGGACUUGGCGGUGCUUCAGACCCCCCUAGAGGAGCCUGUCCUAGAACCGAUGAUCCCCGUUCAACCUCACCACUUCUUGUUUCUUCCGCCUAUAUACCGCCGUCGCCAGCCUACCCUCUAAGGGACCUAAAGUAGGCAAAAUAAGGACUUCUUAAAACGUCAGGUCGAGGUGUAGCGAAUGAAGUGGGAAGAGAUGGGCUACAUUCUCUGAGCCAGAGAACCACGAAAGAGAUUUUGAAAUAAACCCCCGAAGGCGGAUUUAGCAGUAAGCACGAAAACAGUGAGUUCGGCUGAAACCGGCUCUGAAGCGCGUACACACCGCCCGUCACUCUCCCCGAACACCCUACUCACCUUACCUAAAAAAUUUUAACCUCAAGGGGAGGCAAGUCGUAACAUGGUAAGUGUACCGGAAGGUGCACUUGGAGAAAC